This 428-nucleotide ribosomal RNA is filed under the name uncultured Desulfobulbus sp. RNAcentral's name for it is "bacterial SSU rRNA". It matches the Rfam family "Bacterial small subunit ribosomal RNA", at positions 952 to 1382 of the family's 1533-position model. The record is from RNAcentral. Lineage: Bacteria; Pseudomonadati; Thermodesulfobacteriota; Desulfobulbia; Desulfobulbales; Desulfobulbaceae.
CGAUGCAACGCGAAGAACCUUACCUGGUCUUGACAUAGUAAGAACUUUCCAGAGAUGGAUUGGUGCCUUCGGGAACUUACAUACAGGUGCUGCAUGGCUGUCGUCAGCUCGUGUCGUGAGAUGUUGGGUUAAGUCCCGCAACGAGCGCAACCCUUGCCUUUAGUUGCCAGCAGUUCGGCUGGGCACUCUAAAGGGACUGCCGGUGUUAAACCGGAGGAAGUGGGAUGACGUCAAGUCCUCAUGGCCUUUAUGACCAGGGCUACACACGUACUACAAUGGCCGAUACAAAGGGCAGCGACAUCGCGAGGUGAAGCCAAUCCCAUAAAAUCGGUCUCAGUCCGGAUUGGAGUCUGCAACUCGACUCCAUGAAGUUGGAAUCGCUAGUAAUCGUGGAUCAGCAUGCCACGGUGAAUACGUUCCCGGGCCUU